AAAGAAAAUAACAAUGAUUCCCUCAGUAACGGCGAGCGAAGAGGGAUAAGCUCAAAUUUUAAAUCUGUUGGGCUCCGCUUAACAGAGUUGUAUUUUGAAGAAACGUUUUCUGCAUCCAGGAUUAGCCUAAAUCCUUUGGGAUAAGGUAUCAUGGAGGGUGAGAAUCCCGUUCAUGGUUAAUCUUAAGGAAGCUCUACGAUACGCUUUCCAAGAGUCGAGUUGUUUGGGAUUGCAGCUCAAAAUGGGAGGUAAAUUUCUCCUAAGGCUAAAUAUUGGCGAGAGACCGAUAGCGAACAAGUACCGUGAGGGAAAGAUGAAAAGAACUUUGAAAAGAGAGUUAAACAGUACGUGAAAUUGUUGAAAGGGAAACGAUUGAAG
Molecule: ribosomal RNA, 378 nt
Filed under: Funneliformis mosseae
Lineage: Eukaryota; Fungi; Glomeromycota; Glomeromycetes; Glomerales; Glomeraceae
Description: eukaryotic LSU rRNA
Rfam family: Eukaryotic large subunit ribosomal RNA
Source: RNAcentral